AGUGGCGGACGGGUGAGUAACGCGUGGGUAACCUGCCCUAUACAGGGGGAUAACAGUUAGAAAUGACUGCUAAUACCGCAUAAGCGCACUAAAACCGCAUGGUUCGGUGUGAAAAACUGAGGUGGUAUAGGAUGGACCCGCGUCUGAUUAGCUUGUUGGUGAGGUAACGGCUCACCAAGGCAACGAUCAGUAGCCGGCCUGAGAGGGCGACCGGCCACAUUGGGACUGAGACACGGCCCAAACUCCUACGGAAGGCAGCAG
RNAcentral lists this ribosomal RNA (261 nucleotides) under uncultured bacterium. Its description in RNAcentral is "partial 16S ribosomal RNA". It matches the Rfam family "Bacterial small subunit ribosomal RNA", at positions 94 to 354 of the family's 1533-position model. The record is from RNAcentral.